UACAGAAGGUGCGAGCGUUAAUCGGAAUUACUGGGCGUAAAGGGUGCGUAGGUGGUUUUGUAAGUUAGGUGUGAAAGUCCCGGGCUUAACCUGGGGAUUGCGCCUGAUACUGCAAAGCUAGAGUACUGUAGAGGAAAGUGGAAUUUCCAGUGUAGCGGUGAAAUGCGUAGAUAUUGGAAGGAACAUCAGUGGCGAAGGCGACUUUCUGGACAGAUACUGACACUGAGGCACGAAAGCGUGGGGAG
RNAcentral lists this ribosomal RNA (245 nucleotides) under uncultured Legionella sp. RNAcentral's name for it is "partial 16S ribosomal RNA". It matches the Rfam family "Bacterial small subunit ribosomal RNA", at positions 524 to 768 of the family's 1533-position model. Lineage: Bacteria; Pseudomonadati; Pseudomonadota; Gammaproteobacteria; Legionellales; Legionellaceae. The record is from RNAcentral.